CCUACGGGUGGCAGCAGUGGGGAAUAUUGCACAAUGGGCGCAAGCCUGAUGCAGCCAUGCCGCGUGUGUGAAGAAGGCCUUCGGGUUGUAAAGCACUUUCAGCGGGGAGGAAGGCGGUGAGGUUAAUAACCUCAUCGAUUGACGUUACCCGCAGAAGAAGCACCGGCUAACUCCGUGCCAGCAGCCGCGGUAAUACGGAGGGUGCAAGCGUUAAUCGGAAUUACUGGGCGUAAAGCGCACGCAGGCGGUCUGUCAAGUCGGAUGUGAAAUCCCCGGGCUCAACCUGGAAACUGCAUUCGAAACUGGCAGGCUAGAGUCUUGUAGAGGGGGGUAGAAUUCCAGGUGUAGCGGUGAAAUGCGUAGAGAUCGGGAGGAAUACCGGUGGCGAAGGCGGCCCCCUGGACAAAGACUGACGCUCAGGUGCGAAAGCGUGGGGAGCAAACAGGAUUAGAUACCCUUGUAGUC
RNAcentral lists this ribosomal RNA (465 nucleotides) under uncultured Klebsiella sp. RNAcentral describes it as "bacterial SSU rRNA". It matches the Rfam family "Bacterial small subunit ribosomal RNA", at positions 338 to 795 of the family's 1533-position model. Lineage: Bacteria; Pseudomonadati; Pseudomonadota; Gammaproteobacteria; Enterobacterales; Enterobacteriaceae. The record is from RNAcentral.